AACGAACGCUGGCGGCAUGCCUAACACAUGCAAGUCGAACGAGACCUUCGGGUCUAGUGGCGCACGGGUGCGUAACGCCUGGGAACCUGCCCUUAAGUUCGGAAUACCUCCCCGAAAGGGGUGCUAAUACCGGAUAAUGUCUUCGCACCAAGGAUUUACUGCCGUUGGAUGGGCGCGGGUUGGAUUAGCGAGUUGGUAGGGUACAAGCAUGCCAUGGCGAGGUUCCUUGGCUGGUCGGAUAGCAUGCCCAGCUACGCUGGAGCUGAGACACGGCCCAGACUCCUACGGAAGGGUGGAGUGUGGAAUAUUGGACGAUGGGGGAAGGCCUGAUCAAGCAACGCCGGGGGAGAGGUGAAGGCCGUAGGGUUGUAAAGCUGUUUUAGACGGGAUGAUAAUGACAGUACCGGGAGAAUAAGCACCGGCUAACUACGUG
RNAcentral lists this ribosomal RNA (433 nucleotides) under uncultured bacterium. Its description in RNAcentral is "partial 16S ribosomal RNA". It matches the Rfam family "Bacterial small subunit ribosomal RNA", at positions 29 to 507 of the family's 1533-position model. The record is from RNAcentral.